CAGCAGCGCGGUAAUACGUAGGGGGCGAGCGUUACCCGGAUUCACUGGGCGUAAAGCGGGUGUAGGCGGCUCGGUAAGUCGGGUGUGAAAUCCCACAGCUCAACUGUGGAAUUGCGCCCGAAACUGCUGAGCUUGGGGCCGGUAGAGGGAGACGGAACUGCCGGUGUAGGGGUGAAAUCCGUAGAUAUCGGCAGGAACGCCGGUGGGGAAGCCGGUCUCCUGGGCCGCGCCCGACGCUGAGACCCGAAAGCUAGGGGAGCAAACCGGAUUAGAUACCCGGGUAGUCCUAGCCGUAAACGAUGCCCACUAGGUGUGGGGGAUUAAUUCCUCCGUGCUGUAGCUAACGCGUUAAGUGGGCCGCCUGGGGAGUACGCCCGCAAGGGUGAAACUUAAAGGAAUUGGCGGG
RNAcentral lists this ribosomal RNA (406 nucleotides) under uncultured microorganism. Its description in RNAcentral is "bacterial SSU rRNA". It matches the Rfam family "Bacterial small subunit ribosomal RNA", at positions 509 to 917 of the family's 1533-position model. The record is from RNAcentral.